CUAGACCGAAUGAUGAUCACAAAUGCAUAGUUCCGAUGAUCUAACCGUGAUUACUCGAAGAAAAUUUUCUUUUGCUCCUAUCUGAUGGCCAUC
Small nucleolar RNA from Lolium rigidum, 93 nucleotides. RefSeq annotates it as small nucleolar RNA snR60/Z15/Z230/Z193/J17. The record is from RefSeq and is a predicted model, not a curated record. The transcript has a single exon. Lineage: Eukaryota; Viridiplantae; Streptophyta; Magnoliopsida; Poales; Poaceae.